This 253-nucleotide ribosomal RNA is filed under the name uncultured bacterium. RNAcentral describes it as "partial 16S ribosomal RNA". It matches the Rfam family "Bacterial small subunit ribosomal RNA", at positions 524 to 776 of the family's 1533-position model. The record is from RNAcentral.
UACGUAGGGUCCGAACGUUGUCCGGAAUUACUGGGCGUAAAGAGCUCGUAGGUGGUUUGUCGCGUUGUCCGUGAAAACUCACAGCUCAACUGUGGGCGUGCGGGCGAUACGGGCAGACUGGAGUACUGCAGGGGAGACUGGAAUUCCUGGUGUAGCGGUGGAAUGCGCAGAUAUCAGGAGGAACACCGGUGGCGAAGGCGGGUCUCUGGGCAGUAACUGACGCUGAGGAGCGAAAGCGUGGGGAGCGAACAGG